Molecule: ribosomal RNA, 253 nt
Filed under: uncultured prokaryote
Description: partial 16S ribosomal RNA
Rfam family: Bacterial small subunit ribosomal RNA
Source: RNAcentral
GACAGAGGGUGCAAACGUUGUUCGGAAUUACUGGGCGUAAAGCGCGUGUAGGCUGUUCUGCAAGUCGGGUGUGAAAGCCCCGGGCUCAACCUGGGAAGUGCACUCGAAACUGCAGAACUUGAGUCCUGGAGAGGAAGGCGGAAUUCUCGGUGUAGAGGUGAAAUUCGUAGAUAUCGAGAGGAACACCGGUGGCGAAGGCGGCCUUCUGGACAGUGACUGACGCUGAGACGCGAAAGCGUGGGGAGCAAACAGG